GUGCCAGCAGCCGCGGUAAAACGUAGGUCACGAGCGUUGUCCGGAAUUACUGGGUGUAAAGGGAGCGCAGGCGGGUAUGCAAGUUGGGAGUGAAAUGCAUGGGCUCAACCCAUGAACUGCUCUCAAAACUGUGUAUCUUGAGUAGUGCAGAGGUAGGCGGAAUUCCCGGUGUAGCGGUGGAAUGCGUAGAUAUCGGGAGGAACACCAGUGGCGAAGGCGGCCUACUGGGCACCAACUGACGCUGAGGCUCGAAAGUGUGGGUAGCAAACAGGAUUAGAUACCCUGGUAGUCCACACCGUAAACGAUGAUUACUAGGUGUUGGAGGAUAGACCCCUUCAGUGCCGCAGUUAACACAAUAAGUAAUCCACCUGGGGAGUACGACCGCAAGGUUGAAACUCAAAGGAAUUGACGGGGGCCCGCACAAGCAGUGGAGUAUGUGGUUUAAUUCGACGCAACGCGAAGAACCUUACCAAGUCUUGACAUCCUCUGGCGAUGCUGGAAACAGUAUCUUCCUUCGGGACAGAGAGACAGGUGGUGCAUGGUUGUCGUCAGCUCGUGUCGUGAGAUGUUGGGUUAAGUCCCGCAACGAGCGCAACCCUUAUGGAUAGUUACUACGCAAGAGGACUCUAUUCAGACUGCCGUUGACAAAACGGAGGAAGGUGGGGAUGACGUCAAAUCAUCAUGCCCUUUAUGACUUGGGCUACACACGUACUACAAUGGCGUUCAACAAAGAGAAGCGAAGCCGCGAGGCAGAGCAAAACUCAAAAACAACGUCCCAGUUCAGAUUGCAGGCUGCAACUCGCCUGCAUGAAGUCGGAAUUGCUAGUAAUCGCAGAUCAGCAUGCUGCGGUGAAUACGUUCCCGGGCCUUGUACACACCGCCCGUCACACCAUGAGAGCCGGA
RNAcentral lists this ribosomal RNA (903 nucleotides) under uncultured bacterium. Its description in RNAcentral is "bacterial SSU rRNA". It matches the Rfam family "Bacterial small subunit ribosomal RNA", at positions 505 to 1415 of the family's 1533-position model. The record is from RNAcentral.